This 440-nucleotide ribosomal RNA is filed under the name uncultured bacterium. RNAcentral's name for it is "partial 16S ribosomal RNA". It matches the Rfam family "Bacterial small subunit ribosomal RNA", at positions 338 to 795 of the family's 1533-position model. The record is from RNAcentral.
CCUACGGGUGGCAGCAGUGGGGGAUAUUGCACAAUGGGGGGAACCCUGAUGCAGCGACGCCGCGUGGGUGAAGAAGCGUCUCGGCGCGUAAAGCCCUUUCAGCAGGGAAGAAAAUGACGGUAUCUAACGAAGAAGCCCCGGCUAACUCCGUGCCAGCAGCCGCGGUAAUACGGAGGGGGCAAGCGUUAUUCGGAUUGACUGGGUGUAAAGAGGGCGCAGACGGGGAAGCAAGCCAGAAGUGAAAGCCGAUGGCUCAACCCCAGAACUGCAGUUGUAACUGCGUGGCUUGAGUAUGGGAGGGGCAGGCGGAAUUCCUGGUGUAGGGGUGAAAUGCGUAGAGAUCAAGAGGAAGACCGGUGGCGAAGGCGGCCUGCUGGACCGCAACUGACGUUGAGGCCCGAAAGCGUGGGGAGCAAACAGGAUUAGAUACCCGUGUAGUC